RNAcentral lists this long non-coding RNA (1272 nucleotides) under Rhipicephalus microplus (southern cattle tick). RNAcentral's name for it is "uncharacterized LOC119178789, transcript variant X1". The record is from RNAcentral. Lineage: Eukaryota; Metazoa; Arthropoda; Arachnida; Ixodida; Ixodidae.
UACUGCCGUGAGGUACGAACGACACGUACGUUCCUCCAUGGAUUCUUCCUCGCAUCAGGCGAAUGCCACCACGGCCAGCUUUGGGUACUCGGCCGAGCUCCUCAUCGACGCGACUAAAAUGUACCCAUAUCUGUAUGACAAGCGGCACCCUUCUUUUAAAGAUCGGACAAAGAAGGACCGGGCUUGGGCAGAUCGAAGCAUGUUCGGCAUGUCGAGUGUCCUUGUUGAGAAACGAUUUAAGAACCUGCGUGAUAUCUUCAAAAGGAAACAACACGACAUACGUGAAAAAACGAAGAAGUGGAGCCGGAGCAGCCGACAUUCCAACAAUAAAAUGGCCCCAUUUUGAGGCCAUGCUUGAAUUAAUGGAAGGAGAGUCUGAGCCUGUGGCCAGCCACAUCACAGCAGAAGAGGCUAACGAGAGAUCACCGCCUCGGCCAAGACAUGCAGCGGAACCGAAACGUUCCCCUGAUACGGCUGAGGAGACUUGUGUCGACACCUGCAGCAAUGAGUAAAACCUUUAUGAAUCCACCUAAGUAAUGAUAAAUGAAGGGCAUGCAUAGAUAGCGAAUCUAUUAAAUCUUAAAAGCAUGUUUUGUAACCUUCUUCAUGUUCUAGCACAUUUGGAGAAUGUGCCUAAUGUUUUCACACCAGAUUCUGCUACAUGCAAUUGCAACACUUUAUAAGUUGUAUAAUAAUACUGCCUCCUUCUGCGGUGAUGCUUCAGCAACCACCUCAAGAGAGCAGCCACCAUCAAAACGGUCACGCUCGUCAAGACGACAACGGACCUGCGAGGGCGCUAGCAAUGCAGGAGAGGGCACAAGCCAUGAAGCUGUGGCGCAAGCGUGCAUGGAGCACCUUGAACACAUCAGAGCGAACAAGGGGGUCAUCAAAAAAGAUAACAUUGGUUUCUUCGCUCUACGUACCGAUGCACGCCUCAGAGAGCUACCAGUGCACAUUGCACAAGAUGUAAUGCAUGCAGUAGAACUUAUGCUGUAUGAAGCAGAGGCAAAAUUGCGUCAGAGCAGUGAAGCAAAUUGAAGUGUUUAUAUAUAUAAAGUCAAUGACACCCACCUUUUUUUAUCUUGUGUUCACUUUUCUAGUCCUAACUUAAAGGGGUCAUGACUGGUCACUCAACAAUUGACGGUUGUCAGCAAAAAACAAAACUACAGAGUAAAAUGUGCUAGUACACGUAUGAAAAGGGGCCUUAGGAGAUUAUUUUAGUCAAAAAUAUGCCGUAGAAGUGCUCGGCUCCUAAAACUCAACCUACCACAA